GACGAACGCUGGCGGCGUGCCUAAUACAUGCAAGUCGAACGCAGUGGGGACGGGUGAGUAACACGUGGGUAACCUCCCAUCAGAGGGGAUAACACUUGGAAACAGGUGCUAAACCGAUACUGAUGGAUGGACCCGCGGUGCAUUCGCUAGUUGGUUAGGUAACGGCUCACCAAGGCCACGAUUCAUAGCCGACCGGAGAGGGGGAUCGGCCACACUGGGACGGAGACACGGCCCAGACUCCUACGGGAGGCAGCAGUAGGGAAGCUUCGGCAAUGGACGAAAGUCUGACCGAGCAACGCCGCGUGAGUGAAGAAGGUGUUCGGAUCGUAAAGCUCUGUUGUUAAGGAAGCGGUACUUAACCAGAAAGGGACGGCUAACUACGUGCCAGCAGCCGCGGUAAUUC
This 403-nucleotide ribosomal RNA is filed under the name uncultured bacterium. Its description in RNAcentral is "partial 16S ribosomal RNA". It matches the Rfam family "Bacterial small subunit ribosomal RNA", at positions 28 to 526 of the family's 1533-position model. The record is from RNAcentral.